RNAcentral lists this ribosomal RNA (290 nucleotides) under uncultured bacterium. RNAcentral's name for it is "partial 16S ribosomal RNA". It matches the Rfam family "Bacterial small subunit ribosomal RNA", at positions 32 to 334 of the family's 1533-position model. The record is from RNAcentral.
AAUCAACGCUGGCGGCGUGCCUAACACAUGCAAGUCGAACGAGAAAGUCCGCAAGGAUGAGUACAGUGGCGACCGGGUGAGUAACACGUGACUAACCUACCCUCGAGUGGGGAAUAACUCCGGGAAACCGGAGCUAAUACCGCAUAACAUCGCAAGAUCAAAGCCGAAAGGCGCUUGAGGAGGGGGUCGCGGCUGAUUAGCUAGUUGGUAGGGUAAUGGCCUACCAAGGCGAAGAUCGGUAUCCGGCCUGAGAGGGCGCACGGACACACUGGAACUGAAACACGGUCCAG